Gossypium arboreum is the source of this 47-nucleotide non-coding RNA. The record is from Rfam. Lineage: Eukaryota; Viridiplantae; Streptophyta; Magnoliopsida; Malvales; Malvaceae.
GAAGUCGUAACAAGGUUUCCGUAGGUGAACCUGCGGAAGGAUCAUUG